This 65-nucleotide transfer RNA is filed under the name Ictidomys tridecemlineatus (thirteen-lined ground squirrel). RNAcentral's name for it is "Spermophilus tridecemlineatus (thirteen-lined ground squirrel) tRNA". It matches the Rfam family "tRNA". From Rfam's summary of the family: Transfer RNA (tRNA) molecules are approximately 80 nucleotides in length. The record is from Rfam by way of RNAcentral. Lineage: Eukaryota; Metazoa; Chordata; Mammalia; Rodentia; Sciuridae.
AGUGUAGCUUGGUGGUAGAGCACUUGCCUAGUAGGCAUGAAGUCCUGGGUUCGAUCCCCAGUACU